GUUGGCUUAGAAGCAGCCAUACAUUAAAAGAGUGCGUAAUAGCUCACUGGUCGAGAGGUCCUGCGCCGAAAAUGUCCGGGGCUGAAACGCGCCACCGAAACUAAGGAACCGAAAGGUUGGUAGAGGAGCAUUGCAUGCGGGAAGAAGCAGUACCGUAAGGAGCUGUGGACUGCAUGGAAGAGAGAAUGCCGGAAUGAGUAGCGAGAAUAAGGUGAGAAUCCUUAUGGCCGAAUAUCCAAGGUUUCCAGAGUAAAGCUGAUCUGCUCUGGGUAAGUCGGGGCCUAAGGCGAGGUCGAAAGACGUAGUCGAUGGAUAACAGGUUGAAAUUCCUGUACUAUCCUGUAACAGAACUGUGGGGACGCAGACAGAGAGCACAAGCCGGGAAUGGAAAGACCGGUGCAAGCGAGGUAGGAGUACAUCAGGCAAAUCCGGUGUGCAAUCCGAAGACGUGAUGCGGAUCGAAAAGAAGUAGAGAAGUGUGUGAGCUGGCUGCCAAGAAAAGCCGCUAUUGUUUACAGGAUACCCGUACCGUAAACCGACACAGGUGGAUGAGGAGAGAAUCCUAAGGCCGACGGGAGAAGCAUUGUUAAGGAACUCGGCAAAAUGACUCCGUAACUUCGGGAGAAGGAGUGCCAUGCGAAUGGCCGCAGAGAAUUGGCCCAAGCAACUGUUUAGCAAAAACACAGGUCUAUGCGAAACCGAAAGGUGAGGUAUAUGGGCUGACGCCUGCCCGGUGCUGGAAGGUUAAGGGGAGAGGUUAGCGCAAGCGAAGCUUUGAACUUAAGCCCCAGUAAACGGCGGCCGUAACUAUAACGGUCCUAAGGUAGCGAAAUUCCUUGUCGGGUAAGUUCCGACCCGCACGAAAGGCGUAAUGAUUUGGGCACUGUCUCAACAAUGCACCCGGUGAAAUUGAAAUACCAGUGAAGAUGCUGGUUACCUGCGCCAGGACGGAAAGACCCCAUGGAGCUUUACUCUAGCUUGAUACUGGGAUUCGGUAUUGCAUGUACAGGAUAGGUGGGAGACUAAGAGGUGAUGACGCCAGUUGUCACGGAGUCGAUGUUGGGAUACCACCCCUGCAGUACUGGGUUUCUAACCUGCGGCCGUAACCCGGCCGGGGGACAAUGUCUGGUGGGGAGUUUGACUGGGGCGGUCGCCUCCGAAAGGGUAUCGGAGGCGCUCAAAGGUUCCCUCAGAAUGGUUGGAAACCAUUCGAAGAGUGCAAAGGCAGAAGGGAGCUUGACUGCGACACCGACGG
This 1255-nucleotide ribosomal RNA is filed under the name human gut metagenome. Its description in RNAcentral is "bacterial LSU rRNA". It matches the Rfam family "Bacterial large subunit ribosomal RNA", at positions 1100 to 2387 of the family's 2925-position model. The record is from RNAcentral.